This 250-nucleotide ribosomal RNA is filed under the name uncultured bacterium. Its description in RNAcentral is "partial 16S ribosomal RNA". It matches the Rfam family "Bacterial small subunit ribosomal RNA", at positions 524 to 772 of the family's 1533-position model. The record is from RNAcentral.
UACGGAGGGUGCAAGCGUUAUCCGGAAUCACUGGGUUUAAAGGGUGCGUAGGCGGUCUAAUAAGUCAGUCGUGAAAUCGCUGGGCUUAACCCAUGCAAUUGCGAUUGAUACUGUUAGACUUGAAUGGGGUUGAGGCUGGCGGAAUGCGACAUGUAGCGGUGAAAUGCUUAGAUAUGUCGCAGAACACCGAUUGCGAAGGCAGCCAGCUGGGCCUUUAUUGACGCUGAGGCACGAAAGCGUGGGGAGCAAA